Pollicipes pollicipes is the source of this 285-nucleotide long non-coding RNA. RefSeq lists it as uncharacterized. The record is from RefSeq and is a predicted model, not a curated record. The transcript has 3 exons. Lineage: Eukaryota; Metazoa; Arthropoda; Thecostraca; Pollicipedomorpha; Pollicipedidae.
GUGCUGAUGCCUGCAAUGUUAAUGGUAGUGCGGGUGAUUGGUACAGGUUUGGAACAAAUUGCAUGCGAAGAUCGCAAGAGGGGAUCACUGCUGAGUCUGCUGAAUCUGGUGACAAUGCUGAGGAGUAACAUCUUUGUUGGCCUUGGGAGAGCAUUGAGAGGCUAGUCUGCACGAGCUCCGCCCAUCCCGGGGAGCGUUGUGGGUGUUUGGCGCGCGGCUAUGGCGCAGUUGAGCGCCGGUGUCGCCAUGGAGACGGUGAAUGGCGGCGGCGGCGGCGGCGGCGGC